RNAcentral lists this long non-coding RNA (1723 nucleotides) under Anolis carolinensis (green anole). RNAcentral's name for it is "lncRNA (ENSACAG00000043106.1)". The record is from RNAcentral. Lineage: Eukaryota; Metazoa; Chordata; Lepidosauria; Squamata; Anolidae.
AGCACUCUACCCAUGGAAUCAUAUUAUAUAUAUAUAUAUAUAUAUAUAUAUAUAUAUAUAUAUAUAUGCUAGCUGUGCCCGGCCAUGCGUUGCUGUGGUGAAGUAUGGUGGUAUGGGAAAUAAAGUACUGAGGAAUUGGUGGUAGUUAAGGUAAAGGAUAAAGGUUUUCCCCUGACAUUAAGUUGAGUCGUGUCUGACUUCGGGGGUUGGUGGUCAUCUCCAUUUCUAAGCCGAAGAGAUGCCGUUGUCCAUAGACUCCUCCAAGGUCAUGUGGCAUGACUGCAUGGAGCACUGUUACCUUCCCGCUGGAGUAGUACCUAUUCAUCUACUGUCAUUUGCAUGUUUUUGAAGUUUAGGGUUGGCAGAAGCUGGGGCUAACAGUGGGGGCUCUGUCUGCUCCCCCAAUUCAAACCUGAAUGAAUGCUGUAAUUAGGGAAAUGAUUCGCAUGUAAUGGCCUUGCAGCUUUAAAGCCUGGCUGUUUCCUCCCUGAGUGAAUUUUUUGUUGGGAGGUGUUAGUUGGCCCUGAUUGUUUCCUGUCUAGAAUUCCCUUGUUUUCAGAGUGGUGUUCUUUGCAAUAUUUUAUGUGCUUCUACUGUCUGUGGCCCUCAGAAAACAGAGGAUUUGCUAGACUUUGGUGAUGGGAAUACUUUGUUGGGAGGUGUUAGCUGGCCCUGAUUGUUUCCUGUGUGGAAUUCCCCUGUUUUCAGAGUGUUGUUCUUUAUUUAGUGUUCUGAUUUCAGAGAUUGUAUUGUUCUGUUUUAUUAUACCACAUUAAUUUUUAUAUAUUCUGAUUUUAGUGUUUUUGAAUACUUGGAGGCAGAUUGUAUUCAUUUUCACGGUUCACAGUAACACAAUAAUAAUAAUAAUAAUAAUAAUAAUAAUAAUAAUAAUAAUAAUAAUAAUAAUGACUUUGGUAAUACACACCACUUCAGUCCAUUGUCAGCUUCCUUUCUGGAAGAAUCCUUCCUUGGGAGGUGUUAGCUGGCCCUGAUUGUUUCAUUUGUGGAAUUUCCAAUUUUCCUGCUUUCAGAGUGUUGCUCUUUAUUUACUGUCCUGGUUUUAGAGAUUAUAUUGUUGUGUAUUAUUCUACCACAGUAAUUAUUUCAUAUUACAGUAGAGUCUCACUUAUCCAACAUUCACUUAUCCAAUGUUCUGGAUUAUCCAACGCAGUCUGCCUUUUAGUAGUGUUUUCAAUACAUUGUGAUAUUUUGGUGCUAAAUUCGUAAAUACAGUAAUUACUACAUAGCAUUACUGCGUAUUAGGCCCGGGCUGUGGCGCAGGCUGGAGAGCAAGCCAGCUGCAACCAGCUGCAAUGAAUCACUCUGACCAGGAGGUCAUGAGUUCGAGGCCUGCUCGGAGCCUAUGUUUGUCUUGUCUUUGUUAUAUGUUAAAAAGGCAUUGAAUGUUUGCCUAUAUGUGUAAUGUGAUCCGCCCUGAGUCCCCUUCGGGGUGAGAAGGGUGGAAUAUAAAUGCUGUAAAUAAAUAAUAAAUAAAUUGAACUACUUUUUCUGUCAAAUUUGUUGUAUAACAUGAUGUUUUGGUGCUUAAUCUGUAAAAUCAUAACCUAAUUUGAUGUUUAAUAGGCUUUUCCUUAAUCCCUCCUUAUUAUCCAACAUAUUCGCUUAUCCAACAUUCUGCUGGCCCGUUUAUGUUGGAUAAGUGAGACUCUACUGUACUAGAUAUCCCUAUAGAGCUUUGUUGCUCUUGCCUUGAAAAAUACUA